This 3965-nucleotide long non-coding RNA is filed under the name Triticum aestivum (bread wheat). RNAcentral's name for it is "long non-coding RNA (TAES_LNC004553)". The record is from RNAcentral. Lineage: Eukaryota; Viridiplantae; Streptophyta; Magnoliopsida; Poales; Poaceae.
UGGGUCGAAAUUGAAGCUCUAUGCUCUGUAUAAACAUCAUGCAGCAAGAUGAAGGCGCCGUUGCGUCUGGCCUGUGAUGUAUUGCUCCCUUUGGUCGUUGCAGAGCAGUAGGAGAGGAUUAGAGAUGUACUGUAGUAGUGCUGUAUGCAAGUGCGAGUACCACCAGACUACCAGUAUAGCACGCACUAGCAGUGUAGGAAUGCAGCGAACUGUGCUAAUAUGAAAGUUCCAUGUGCUCCUUUGUAAGGGACUAGCUGUAGUCUUGCUAGUAAUCUCUCUCUCAGGAAGGUUUGAUACAGGGUAGCAAUUACAACCAGAGGUUACAAGCGAAUUGGGGAAGAACAGGGAAGAACUGGAGGUAGGGGGAAGAGAGGAAGGUAGCCGCCGCCGAGCCGUCCGUGAUCCACUGGAUGAGCAGAGCGUUGCCUUCUCCCUGGUACUUGUAGUCUGCGGCGCUCGAUGAUCUCUCGAUGGGCCAGACCCAUGUACCGGUCCAGGGGCAAGCCCAGGUACCUGCCAGGGGAGGGCUCCUGACAUCCCUCCCUUCUUGACUUCGGCUUGACCCCAGCCGACACCAUCUAGAACCGCCCGGAUCCCAUUGCACUUGAUGAUGCUUGACUUGGUUGUCGUCACGAUCGAAGCCAGAGAGGACUUCAACGAAGUAGGAACGGUAGUUGCGGCCGAUGGGAGCCCCGCCGAAGGUGUCCAGGAAGUAGUCAUUUUCAGCACAGUCGUGGUCGAAGCUGAGAAAGUAGUACUCAUGGUUGACAGAGCCUUGCACGAAGACGACAGCAAUGGUGAUGGUACCCCUCGCUUCUUGAAAAUGCCCUUGAUUGUAGCAGGUAGAAGGCACUAGGUCCCUCACGGCCAAUGUUGUUGUAGAACACUUGAGAGACUCACACCACCAUGAUCUCAUGAAACUUGUUGUACCUUGAGUCGAUUGGAAUCCAGGCAGUUGAUGAAGUGAAAUAUCACUGGCGUGGAUGAGGUAGUGGACCACCAAGAUGAUGACACACACCGCUCUUGAGAAGACCACUCGGUGAGCCACUUCCAUUGACAACCGCAAUGCCAGUCCUCCAGGAUCCCAAGAACAGCCCCGCUGGUACAAGCCCAAGUCAGAUUUCAUCAUACCAAUGUUACAGGUGCGUUGAGAAACUGAACAAAGCCAAAACAGGAAGCACAUGCUGUUGUAGGCAUCAAGUUGCGUGUUGGAAAUGACCAGCUGACAGGUCAGGAAUAGUAGAAGCUCAUAUGACACAUGCCGUACUGGAAGUUCACUCGUCAGACAACCAUUGGCGCUAGACAGCUGAUAAAAAUCCUUGACGUCCGAAUGACAAUGAUCUUGUUCACAGAUAGCUCAAGAAUAAUCUAAAUGACAACGAUCUUGUUGAGCCGCUGAGCAAGAGUGGACAGGUGCGCCUGCUGUACUGAAAGCCACCUGGGACGUGUCACUGACAGAGAGAAUAUCAUCUUGUUCAGAACUGCACGCCCAAACAUGAUCAUAUUGUUUAGGAAUGCCCACUGAAUUCCAUUGCUCCUCACCUGGAUCCCAUGGGCAACCAAAAGCACUAAAGGGAUAGACAUGAGCAAGAUCAGAAUGCAGCGACUCCAAAUAGAUAGCAAAUUCGGACUCCAAGCCUGCCAUGCUCACAAUCUGAAUUGUCCUCUGCAAUUUGUCACCGCUAGGCAUACUACCUACAGCAACAUGUUCCGGAGUCAAUGGUUUCUGGACCAGUAUUUGGCUGCAACAUUCUGGACUAGAGAGUUUAACAUUAGAUGUUCCCUGUUCCAGUAGACACAAAGACUGCCAGCGUGUACCCUCUUGUUCAUAACUGCAUUCUUUAGCAAAACCAUCACUGCUUUCAAAUUUCUCUCGACUCAAAAUUUGCCACUGCACUGACAUUUUCAUGAUCCGCAUUUUUGAAUCGAUCUCUCUACGAACCAUGUGACAAUUAAAGCAUCUCUUGUCCUGCAAUAGAUUACUAGCCUUGCUUGAUAUAAGAUACUGGCAACCAUAUUUUCCCAAUGCUUCAGUACCGGCAGUACAGUCCAUAAUGUACAGCCUGAUUAGAAUCCUUUGUUGUAUCUCCAUCAACUUAAGAAUAUACCAAUCAUGAUUCUCAGGAAGCUUGGCAAGGGAAAACAGAAAAGUUUUGUGGACAGCGUGUAAUUGCCAUUGAAUUUGGUAGCCCUUUCCAUGCUUAUACGUUGACCACUCCAACGAAUCAAUGAAUCAACAAUAUGCAAAAUAGGUGCCCAAAUAUGCAGACAUAGGCCACUGAAUAAAGGCGUGUCGAUGACCGUGAUUGAAAUAGGCAAUGACUACAUCCGAAAUAAUAUGUGAUGCAAGAUUUGAUGCAAGAUUUCCACCCUUCAAAUAAUCGGCCAAUGAAGGGAUGGUUGCUGAGGCACGGUGGUCACUCAAACUCCUCGCGUCCGAGCACCACAUAGCAAUAGGACUAUGAAAAGCAGAUAUACCAAUGCAACCAGGAAAAUGGAAGGAAUUAACAAACCAUUGAAGUGUCUUGUAUGCAGGCAGAGAAGUAGUUGUGUUGCAGAGACUAUCAAGGGACCCAGCAUGGAGAGCCAAAUUACACUUCAGUAGUACUUGAGAAUCUGCUAUCCCCUUGUCAAGAAAGAUCAUAACCGGACCAGUAGCAAAACAGGUAGCGAAAUCCGUCAAACAUCUUGGUAUUGGGAGUAACCAUUUUUGCACUUUGCUCCAUACCAUUGGCUGAUAGUCAGGUGGCCACCACACAUAGCCAGUAUCAUCAUUCGCAACUAUGCCAACGACCUGAAUAUUAUCGUCCAUUGCAAUCUGCACUCGAAUUGGAGGCGGCCAUGGUUGCUGCUUGAUCCACUUCCGUACUGGUGGCAGGGACCAAGUUUUGCUCUUGUCCACAAGAUGAACAGGCUGCACCCAGUCGCCAUCCUGGACUAGACAAUCUGUCGAACACAUGGUCCGCACCGGUGGAGCAGGGUCGCUAGGGAUGAUGAGGGCGAGGUCGUGGUCCGCCUUGCUCAUCACUUGAGUGGAGCUGUCGACAGAGAGGGCAUUGAGCUCCUGCACGCCGGCCUUGGGGUCGACGUCGGUGGUGGUCGUCACGGGAGAAACGGCCUCGGCACAAGAGGGAGUGUUGGUGCCGAUGGAGGCCGUUGCCUGCACCGGCACGUGCUGCUCGACUGCUUUGUGGAUGGGGUCGAUCAUGGGCUCCAGGUGGACGGCGGUAGCGGCGUCAUGGACCUCGUCGACGCUGUCGAUGGUGUCAACCUGGGUCGAGCACUCCGUCGAACAGGUGACGGGCACCAUCGUGAUGCACACCGGGGCUGCAUCAUGGGCGACCGUGGGAAUCUCCUGGGCCUUGGUGGUGGAGCCGGAGACGUCCGGGACGGGCGCCGACGUGUUGGUUGUGCUCUCCGGCGUAGUUGUCGCUGAUGGUGGGUUGUGGACGACGGCGGGUGAACUGGUGGCCCAACUGACGUCAAGGGCGUUCAGUUUCUCGGCGAGGGCCCUGGUGGCAUUGGUGUAGGCAUCGAGCCUGGCGCCGAGCCGCUCGAGAUACUCCUAGAGCAACAGAUCCAUGGUCGAUUCCAUCGGAUGGUGGUGGUGGAAAAAAUUUGGGGGAAGAAUUUGGGGAAGGGGGGUGCCUGGCUCUGUAUACCAGAUGUAAGGGACUAGCUAUAGUCUUGCUAGUAAUCUCUCUCUUAGGAAGGUUUGAUACAGAGUAGCAAUUACAACCCGAGGUUACAAGCGAAUUGGGGAGGAACAGGGAAGAACUGGAGGUAGGGGGAAGAGAGGAAGGUAGCCGCCGCCGAGCCGUCCGUGAUCCACUGGAUGAGCAGAGCGUUGCCUUCUCCCUGGUACUUGUAGUCUGCGGCGCUCGAUGAUCUCUCGAUGGGCCAGGCCCAUGUACUUGCCAGGGGAGGGCUCCUGACAUCCUUGGUCUCCUCGCCGGUUGCACUCG